Zingiber officinale is the source of this 3989-nucleotide RNA transcript. It is a transcript of the gene named pentatricopeptide repeat-containing protein At4g16390, chloroplastic-like, with no coding region annotated. The transcript has 3 exons. NCBI's taxonomy places the organism in Eukaryota, Viridiplantae, Streptophyta, Magnoliopsida, Zingiberales, Zingiberaceae. The record is from RefSeq and is a predicted model, not a curated record.
UAAAUCCCUUGAAGAAGUGGACGCUAUCGAUGCAAAUAAUCUGAUAAGGCAGCGAAGAGAACUCAUCAGCCAUCGUCCCCAAAACCAAACCCUCAUCACCGUCGGCUGCUGAGGAGGAGGCGGCGACGACAGCGGCGAAGAAUCGAGCAAGGUGAUGACUUUCUGCUUCUCUCCAGCAGCUCCUUCCUUUGCCCAACUCCACUCCUCCUCUUCCUUCCCUCUACCUCUCGCUUCCUCGCCCUCAUGCAGGAGUAAAAGGAAAAGCUUCAUUCCGUCCCACCCCCUUUCCUUUCCCCACUUCCUUCAUCUCCAUCGGCAUCUCCACAAGCCACUCAGUGUCUCCCUAGAAGACCACCAUAUCUCCUCUCCUCCUUCUCCUCCAUCUUCGCAUCCAUCGCCCUUCAAGAACUCCAUCUGGGUCAACCCCAACAGCCCUCGCGCCUCCCGCCUCCGCCAGCGCUCCUCCGAUUCCCGCUACGCCCGCCUUGCCCUCCUCGCUGCCUCCCUAGACUCCUCCGACCCUACCGACCCUUCCAUCUCCGCCGUCCUUGCCUCCUUCGGCAGCGCAGCAACCGUGCAGGACGCCGUCAUCGUCCUUAACAGCAUGUCCAACUCCCAUAAUGCCGUUCUUGCUCUUCGUUGGUUCCAGCGCAAGAUCGGCAGGGAGGUAGUUCUCUACAACGUCACGCUUAAGGUUCUUAGAAAGUCCAAGGACUUGGUGGUCGCGGAGGGCCUCUGGGGGGAGAUGCUGGAAAAAGGAAUUAAGCCGGAUAACGUGACAUUCACAACUAUGAUAAGCUGUGCCAGGUUCUGCAACAAGCCCGAAAAAGCAGUCGAGUGGUUUGAGAAAAUGCCCGAGUUUGGAUGCCACCCAGAUGAUAUCACCUACUCGGCCAUGAUUGAUGCUUAUGGUCGGUUGAAUAAUGUGGAGAUGGCUCUUGAAUUGUACGACCGUGCUCGUGCAGAAAAGUGGCGGCUUGAUCCUGUGACUUUUGCGACUGUGAUUAGGGUAUAUGGCAUUUCAGGUAAUUUUGAUGGGGCGCUGAAUGUGUACGAAGAGAUGAAGGCCCUUGGUGCUAAGCCUAAUUUGGUUAUUUACAAUACGUUGUUGGAUGCCAUGGGCAGGGCCAGAAGACCAUGGCAAGUCAAGACUAUUUACCGUGAAAUGUGUAGCAAGGGGUUGGCUCCUAACAGAGCAACAUACUCAGCUCUUCUGCGAGCAUAUGCUAAAGCUAGAUAUGCUGAAGAUGCGCUUGACGUGUAUAGGCAGAUGAGGAAGGAAAUGGAGCUUGAUAUAAUCUUGUACAACAUGCUUUUGUCAAUGUGCGCUGAUGUUGGUUCAGUUGAUGAAGCAGUGAAAAUUUUUAAUGAAAUGAAGGAGUUAUCAAAUGCCUGCAAACCAGAUAGUUGGAGUUACUCGGCUAUGAUAACUGCAUACUCGUGCAGUGGAAAAGUUUCUGAGGCUGAAAGCAUGUUGAAUGAGAUGUCAGAAGCUGGGUAUCAGCCAAAUAUUUUUGUGCUUACAUCUCUAAUCCAGUGCUAUGGCAAAGCUGGAAGAACUGAUAGCAUUGUUAAAGCAUUUGACAAACUUCUAGGUUGGGGGAUCAAACCUGAUGAUAGGUUAUGUGGCUGUCUCCUGAAUGUGGUAGCUCAGACGGCAACAGAAGAACUUGGGAAGAUUAUUGGUUGUAUUGAAAGAGGAAAUACUCAGCUGGGUUCUUUAGUAAAUUUGCUGGUUGACGAGGCUUGUGACAAUGAUACAGUUAGACAAGAAGCUGUAGUACUCUUCCAUAACGUGAGUAGCGAAGUAAAAAGAGCUUAUAGUAAUUGUUUGAUAGAUCUCUGUGUAAACCUCAACCAUUUGGAAAGAGCGUGUGUGCUUCUCGACCUGGCAAUUCAACUUGAGAUAUAUACAGAUCUUCAAUCUCGAUCUGCUACACAGUGGUCCUUAUAUGUGAAGGGUCUCUCACAUGGAGCUGCUCUAACUGCAUUACAUGUUUGGAUGAAUGAUCUAGCCAAAUCCUUACAGAAUGGAGAAAACUUGCCUCCAUUACUUGGUAUCUUCACAGGGCAUGGAAAACAUAAAUAUUCAGAAAAAGGGUUAGCAUCUGUUUUCCAGUCUCACUUGAGAGAAAUCUGUGCACCAUUUCAUGAAGCACCAGACAAGGCUGGAUGGUUUCUAACCACACAACUUGCGGCUGAAUCAUGGUUGGAGUCAAGAAACUCAUCUUACAAAGUUGCUGCUUAGGAUACACGGGUAAGCCCAACUAUUGUGACAAAUGAGUAAAAUUCUGAGCCAGUCUGAAUUUUACUUCAAAAACUCUGUUAUUAAGAAGGCAAUUAUGAUUAUCAAAAAUUACAUUGGAUUUCAUCCAGAAAGAAUAAAAGUUGGCAUCAUUUGUUGUAGGUUGAAGCCAGCUGAGUUGAUCUUAGGCUUCCUGAGGAUUCUAGCAAGUAACCUAGAACCUAAACUUUUAUGAAUCAUAUAUUUAUGUUGAAGGUAGUAUGCGAAUAUGUGGGGACUGCCAUUUUAUCUCUAAUAAAAGCUUUCUCUGUGUCAUCAUUGGAAAUCGAUAUUUAGAAUUUAUCCUGUCAAACUCAGACCCCACUAGUUUGAUCUUUAUAUUCAUUCUUAAGCUUAGGAAAUUUGGCACUUUCUAUGAGUAUGAACUAAACUCUUUCCGCAGCAAGGCAAUUUUCCGAGUUCAAGAAAUCCAAAAUGGACUUAGAAAAAUGAGCUGUGUAAUUUGUAUUUCAGAAUGCCCAUAUUCUUCAAUGAGAACUGGACCUUUUGAGCAGGAAAUCAUGUUUGAGCAACUUGGCUAAGAUCUAGAAGUAGAAGAGUAAUUCAUGAAGGAAAAAAGUUUGAAGGACAAACGUACCCAAAAUACUAUUUUGUAGCCUGUUGAGCUCAAUUAUUACAGGGUCAGAAGGACUCGCAAAGAGUUCCUUGGCUCCUGCUGCAUCACCCAAGCCGCCCAUUGUACAGCACACUUCACUUCUUCAAACAGAUCUUUAUCCCCUUUUUUUACUUCCAGAGAAGACCGCCGUGCCAAAAACUGGAGGAUUCGAGGCAAUUUAUGAUGGAGGUUAUCUUGAGAGACAGCCAUUCUCCAGGAGGAAAUCCACCGUAAAGAAGAAGAGAGACAAUGGACAGAAUUGACACAUCCAGAGAAUGAGCAGCUGAAAACGGCAACAACUCAGCCUGAUUGAUAACUAUCAUUUUGUAGGUACAUCUCCUCCAUCACCAUUUGUUAUUUUCUUUUAUCACUAAAAAAUAGCUUUUAGCGUGUGGAUUUGACAACAUGCCCCACAAGAUGAUACAGUCUUCCAAGACAACGGUUUUGUAUGGGCAUACUUUUGUUGCUGAUAGAUAUUAAUCAGAGUUUGCGUUAAAAACAAAGGAAAAACCAAGUAUCGAUCUCUCGUAAGAGAAUUAAGUGGACACACCAAUACAUAGAGUGUGUUCGAUUUGCAUCAUACUUGUUAUAUUCUUUUUCUUGUUAAUCAAAUUAUAAAUGUGUGAAUGUUGCAAGAAAAGGCAGAAAAAGAAGUUUCAGCAGAAUUAUGUAGUCGGCACUGUUUCUUUUCUUGCCAGUUGCGGAUUCAUUGAACCACUAAGCAUUGUUUUAUCAGGGUGGUUUGUUCAAUCAAAGUCAGUAGCCAACAAGCCAUGUUCCCCUGUUCGCACGUAGCAGAGCAAAUAAACCCGGGUCAAAAUGAGACAUCUGAAAGAAAAGCUUACAACAUGUGAUCCCUUAGUCAAAAUGACCUGUGGCCCUUCGAUUUGGACCAGGAACAACUAUGGAAGUGUGUGGAUUACAAGGUUGGUGAGAAGAUGACACAAAGUGGAUGCUUUAUUAAUUUUUGUUUUAUGAAUUAAGAUCAAAUAUGAAAUAGAUAAUCCUAUUGGACUUGAUUGUUCUAUAAUUAUUUGUGUUUAUUUGUUUUUCUUCUACGGUAAAAGAAAUGGCAGCCUUUAUUCUCUA